Molecule: ribosomal RNA, 403 nt
Filed under: uncultured bacterium
Lineage: Bacteria
Description: bacterial SSU rRNA
Rfam family: Bacterial small subunit ribosomal RNA
Source: RNAcentral
GACGAACGCUGGCGGCGUGCUUAACACAUGCAGGUCGAACGAGAAUCUACUGAAAGAGUUUUCGGACAAUGGAUGUAGAGGAAAGUGGCGGACGGGUGAGUAACGCGUGAGGAACCUGCCUUGAAGAGGGGACAACAGUUGGAAACGACUGCUAAUACCGCAUGACGCAUAGAGGUCGCAUGAUCUUUAUGCCAAAGAUUUAUCGCUUCAAGAUGGCCUCGCGUCUGAUUAGCUAGUUGGCGGGGUAACGGCCCACCAAGGCGACGAUCAGUAGCCGGACUGAGAGGUUGAACGGCCACAUUGGGACUGAGAUACGGCCCAGACUCCUACGGGAGGCAGCAGUGGGGAAUAUUGGGCAAUGGGCGCAAGCCUGACCCAGCAACGCCGCGUGAAGGAAGAAGGC